AUACAGAGGAUGCGAGCGUUAUCCGGAUUUAUUGGGUUUAAAGGGUGCGUAGGCUGUGCGUUAAGUCAGGGGUGAAAUGCCGUCGCUCAACGACGGAGCUGCCCUUGAUACUGGCGUGCUGGAGUACGGAUGCCGUUGGAGGAAUGAGUGGUGUAGCGGUGAAAUGCUUAGAUAUCACUCAGAACGCCGAUUGCGAAGGCAUCUGACGAAUCCGUCACUGACGCUGAGGCACGAAAGCGUGGGGAUAGAACAGGAUUAGAUACCCUGGUAUUCCACGCCGUAAACGAUGAUGACUAACCGUCGGCGAUAGACAGCCGGUGGCCAAGCGAAAGCGAUAAGUCAUCCACCUGGGGAGUACGUCGGCAACGAUGAAACUCAAAUGAAUUGACGGGG
Molecule: ribosomal RNA, 393 nt
Filed under: uncultured bacterium
Lineage: Bacteria
Description: partial 16S ribosomal RNA
Rfam family: Bacterial small subunit ribosomal RNA
Source: RNAcentral